UCCCUAAUAGCUCAGUUGGUAAAGAAUCUGCCUGCAAUGCAGUAUACCCCGGUUCAAUUUCUGGGUUGGGGAG
This 73-nucleotide transfer RNA is filed under the name Ovis aries (sheep). It matches the Rfam family "tRNA". Rfam says of the family: Transfer RNA (tRNA) molecules are approximately 80 nucleotides in length. Their secondary structure includes four short double-helical elements and three loops (D, anti-codon, and T loops). The record is from Rfam by way of RNAcentral. Lineage: Eukaryota; Metazoa; Chordata; Mammalia; Artiodactyla; Bovidae.